CGAAAUGCGAUAAGUAAUGUGAAUUGCAGAAUUCCGUGAAUCAUCGAAUCUUUGAACGCACAUUGCGCCCUCUGGCAUUCCGGGGGACAUGCCUGUCCGAGCGUCAUUACGCACCCUCAAGCCCGGCUUGUGUGAUGGGCCCCGGCGUCUCGUUCGCGAGACGGGCCCGAAAGGCAGCGGCGGCGUCGACCCGAUGAGCCCGAGCGUAUGGGGACUUCUGUCACACGUUCGCGGUGCGGACCGGCGCCUGCUUGACUUUUCUGAUUAUCCAGGUUGACCUCGGAUCAGGUAGGGAUACCCGCUGAACUUAAGC
This 313-nucleotide unclassified non-coding RNA is filed under the name plant metagenome. Its description in RNAcentral is "partial contains 5.8S ribosomal RNA, internal transcribed spacer 2, and large subunit ribosomal RNA". The stretch from base 1 to 106 matches the Rfam family "5.8S ribosomal RNA", at positions 49 to 154 of the family's 154-position model. The record is from RNAcentral.